This 253-nucleotide ribosomal RNA is filed under the name uncultured bacterium. RNAcentral's name for it is "partial 16S ribosomal RNA". It matches the Rfam family "Bacterial small subunit ribosomal RNA", at positions 524 to 776 of the family's 1533-position model. The record is from RNAcentral.
UACGUAGGGCGCAAGCGUUAUCCGGAAUUAUUGGGCGUAAAGAGCUCGUAGGCGGUUUGUCGCGUCUGCCGUGAAAGUCCGGGGCUCAACUCCGGAUCUGCGGUGGGUACGGGCAGACUAGAGUGAUGUAGGGGAGACUGGAAUUCCUGGUGUAGCGGUGAAAUGCGCAGAUAUCAGGAGGAACACCGAUGGCGAAGGCAGGUCUCUGGGCCUUACCUGACGCUGAGGCGCGAAAGCUAGGGGAGCGAACAGG